RNAcentral lists this transfer RNA (61 nucleotides) under Myosotella myosotis (mouse ear snail). Its description in RNAcentral is "tRNA-Cys". The record is from RNAcentral. Lineage: Eukaryota; Metazoa; Mollusca; Gastropoda; Ellobiida; Ellobiidae.
GAGUUGAUAGUUAAAAUAUAACAUUAAGUUGCAAGCUUAAAGGUGGGUGACCCCCAACUCU